AGUGAACGCUGGCGGUAGGCCUAACACAUGCAAGUCGAACGGCAGCACAGUAAGAGCUUGCUCUUACGGGUGGCGAGUGGCGGACGGGUGAGGAAUACAUCGGAAUCUACUUUUUCGUGGGGGAUAACGUAGGGAAACUUACGCUAAUACCGCAUACGACCUACGGGUGAAAGCAGGGGAUCUUCGGACCUUGCGCGAUUGAAUGAGCCGAUGUCGGAUUAGCUAGUUGGCGGGGUAGAGGCCCACCAAGGCGACGAUCCGUAGCUGGUCUGAGAGGAUGAUCAGCCACACUGGAACUGAGACACGGUCCAGACUCCUACGGGAGGCAGCAGUGGGGAAUAUUGGACAAAGGGCGCAAGCCUGAUCCAGCCAUACCGCGUGGGUGAAGAAGGCCUUCGGGUUGUAAAGCCCUUUUGUUGGGAAAGAAAAGCAGCAGGUUAAUACCCCGCCGUUCUGACGGUACCCAAAGAAUAAGCACCGGCUAACUUCGUG
Molecule: ribosomal RNA, 492 nt
Filed under: uncultured bacterium
Lineage: Bacteria
Description: partial 16S ribosomal RNA
Rfam family: Bacterial small subunit ribosomal RNA
Source: RNAcentral